UACGGGGGGGGCAAUCGUUGUUCGGAAUUACUGGGCGUAAAGGGCUCGUAGGCGGCCAACUAAGUCAUGCGUGAAAUCCCUCGGCUUAACCGGGGAACUGCGUCUGAUACUGGAUGGCUUGAGUUCGGGAGAGGGAUGCGGAAUUCCAGGUGUAGCGGUGAAAUGCGUAGAUAUCUGGAGGAACACCGGUGGCGAAGGCGGCAUCCUGGACCGAUACUGACGCUGAGGAGCGAAAGCGUGGGGAGCGAACAGG
Molecule: ribosomal RNA, 253 nt
Filed under: uncultured bacterium
Lineage: Bacteria
Description: partial 16S ribosomal RNA
Rfam family: Bacterial small subunit ribosomal RNA
Source: RNAcentral